UACGUAGGGGGCAAGCGUUAUCCGGAAUUACUGGGUGUAAAGGGAGCGUAGACGGUAAUGUAAGUCUGGAGUGAAAGGCGGGGGCCCAACCCCCGGACUGCUCUGGAAACUAUGUUACUAGAGUGCAGGAGAGGUAAGCGGAAUUCCUAGUGUAGCGGUGGAAUGCGUAGAUAUUAGGAGGAACACCAGUGGCGAAGGCGGCUUACUGGACUGUAACUGACGUUGAGGCUCGAAAGCGUGGGGAGCAAACAGG
RNAcentral lists this ribosomal RNA (253 nucleotides) under uncultured bacterium. Its description in RNAcentral is "partial 16S ribosomal RNA". It matches the Rfam family "Bacterial small subunit ribosomal RNA", at positions 524 to 776 of the family's 1533-position model. The record is from RNAcentral.